CAGUCGAGCGCCCCGCAAGGGGAGCGGCGGACGGGUGAGUAACGCGUGGGAACGUACCCUUUGCUACGGAAUAGCCUCGGGAAACUGGGAGUAAUACCGUAUGUGCCCUUCGGGGGAAAGAUUUAUCGGCAAGGGAUCGGCCCGCGUUGGAUUAGGUAGUUGGUGGGGUAAUGGCCUACCAAGCCGACGAUCCAUAGCUGGUUUGAGAGGAUGAUCAGCCACACUGGGACUGAGACACGGCCCAGACUCCUACGGGAGGCAGCAGUGGAGAAUCUUAGACAAUGGGCGCAAGCCUGAUCUAGCCAUGCCGCGUGAGCGAUGAAGGCCUUAGGGUUGUAAAGCUCUUUCAGGGGGGAAGAUAAUGACUGUACCCCCAGAAGAAGCCCCGGCUAACUCCGUGCCAGCAGCCGCGGUAAUACGGAGGGGGCUAGCGUUGUUCGGAAUUACUGGGCGUAAAGCGCACGUAGGCGGACGAGAAAGUCAGAGGUGAAAUCCCAGGGCUCAACCUUGGAACUGCCUUUGAAACUUCUUGUCUUGAGGUCGAGAGAGGUGAGUGGAAUUCCGAGUGUAGAGGUGAAAUUCGUAGAUAUUCGGAGGAACACCAGUGGCGAAGGCGGCUCACUGGCUCGAUACUGACGCUGAG
RNAcentral lists this ribosomal RNA (643 nucleotides) under uncultured bacterium. RNAcentral describes it as "bacterial SSU rRNA". It matches the Rfam family "Bacterial small subunit ribosomal RNA", at positions 59 to 750 of the family's 1533-position model. The record is from RNAcentral.